CAGCAGAAAACCUGUCAAUCAAGGAAUGUAAGGCAACGAUGCUGGGGCUUUACAUGUAUAGUAUUGAUGCGCGUACCAUAACCGUACAUCGUAUGUAAAGGCAAUAGCCUACUCACAUCGGUUUAUAGCCUAUCUAAAUCCAGAUAUUUACCUAUUGCGUAAAUAAUCCUGUGGGGUUUUGUAGAUGAUUCGCGUCGCGUACGGUCAAUUUGAUUCCUUAGUAGGCCCACUAGACUAGAUUCCUUUUAUGUCACUCGCUCAAAAAUGUGGCACGGAUUUUACAGUCGUAGGAUGACAGAUUACUCAAGUGUUGUGAAUGACACUUGUUUCAGGAGUGGCUAUGUGAACAUGUGUCAGCGAUGACCGAAGUUGAAGUGACGUAUGCAGACUUCAUAGCCUCCGGCAGAACUGGACGAAGAAAUGCCCUGCAUGAUAUCCUCCAAAGCCCCACUGACCCAGACGCCAGGGAUCUCCCCCUGAGCCUAUCUCAACUCAACAUCAACCCAACCAGGGCUGACAUGGAAGAAAGUCAGGAAUCGUCCACAAACGCUCUGCCAAAGUCAGGGCAGAAGAAUCGGGGAAACUUUCAGGCCUAAACACUGAGUCGGGCCUGCACUCACCACCACAAAGUCUCCCAAAAUCGCACAAACAGUGUAGUUCGUUAUGAAAGAAAAACUGUAGUCAACGGGAAAUAAUUAAACUGUGUAGAAUUCGACGCAAUGGUUCCCUCAGCCCUUAGCUGGGAGAGACACCUGUUUUUAAUAUGGAGAUUGGGCCAAACAUCCCCGUAUUUAACAAUGGAUUAGGGCUAAAGCCAGACUGAGGUUGGCAAAUAGUGAUUUAAGUAAUUCUUUAGGAUCCAUCUACCUUACUAGAGGAUGCAAGGAACUGCAAAGAGCAUGUAAAGAUCGGGUUAUAAUGGUGCUGGUUGACAGUGUAGAAACUACAGGUGGACUACAGUUUAUGUGGUUGCUGUAGUGACUGAAAGGAUUUGAGCAUUUUGAUCUCAUACUUCCUUCAGAAACAUCAUCCAGACACCGCCCCAUUUUUUUUAUAGUAUAUGUUAUACAGUAUACGUCAUUGAUCACAGGUUUUUGUUAAACAACACCACUACCUUGGAUAUCGGCAUUAUUUACAGAAUAGAUUACACUAGGUCUGUCAACAUCUUAAUUUGUGCAGUGUUUCUUUAAAAAUGCGCGUACACUAUUUUAUACUUUUUGUAUGCUUUGUUUGGAGUUUUCACCUGAGACUGUAUCACUAUUGAUGUCGACCACAGAUGUAGCAACCAGUACUUUAAGAUAAACCUUUUUAAUUCCAAGUUAAUGUAACAUUUUGCAGUGCUGUUGUUGAAGCCAAGCACCACUAAAGUGGGUGUGUAUGUGUAAUAAAUGCUUACCAAAUGAUAUGAUGGCAUUAUGCACCAGGGUUGGGGUCAAUUCCAUUUCAAUCUAUUCAGACAGUAAACCAAAUUCCAAUAGUAUUAUUAUUAUUUUAUUUUCUUCACCCCCUUUUUCUCCCCAAUUACAUGGUAUCCCAUUGGUAGUUACAGUCUUGUCUCGUCGCUGCAAUUCCCGUACGGACUCAGGAGAGGCGAAGGUCGAGAGCCGUGCGUCCUCCGAAACACAAUCCAACCAAGCUGCACUGCUUCUUGACACAAUGCCCACCUAACCCGGAAGCCAGCAGCACCGAUGUGUUGGAGGAAACACCGUACACUUGGCAACCGUGUCAGUGCGCACUACGCCCGGCCCGCCACAGGAGUCGCUAGUGCGUGAUGGGACAAGGACAUCCCUGCCAGCCAAACCCUCCCCUAACCCAGACAACGCUGGGCCAAUUGCGCGCCGCCCCAUGAGUCUCCCGGUCGCGGCCAGCAACGACAGAGCCUGGACUCGAACCCAGAAUUUCAAGUGGCACAGCUAACACUGCGAUGCAGUGUCUUAGACCACCCGGGAGGCCCCUCAAAUUCCAAUUCCAAGCCCAAAUUUUCCUAAUUGAAAAGUAUUGUAGAGAAUUGGAAUUUCUGUGUACUUCCUAAAUUGUCUGGAAUUGACCUCAACCCUGUUACGCAUUGUGUAUGCCUAAAAUGUCGCUGAUGGGCAAUUUCACUGAUGCAGUCAUACUAAACUCAGCAAAAAAAGAAACGUCCCUUUUUCAGGACCCUGUCUUUCAAAGAUAAUUCAUAAAAAUCAAAUCAAAAUAACUUCACAGAUCUUCAUUUUAAAGGGUUUAAACACUGUUUCCCAUGCUUGUUCAAUGAACCAUAAAAACAAUUAAUGAACAUGCACCUGAGGAACGGUCAUUAAGACACUAACAGCUUACAGACGGUAGGCAAUUAAGGUCACAGUUAUGAAAACUUAGG
Salmo salar (Atlantic salmon) is the source of this 2356-nucleotide long non-coding RNA. RefSeq lists it as uncharacterized. Lineage: Eukaryota; Metazoa; Chordata; Actinopteri; Salmoniformes; Salmonidae. The record is from RefSeq and is a predicted model, not a curated record.